Molecule: unclassified non-coding RNA, 335 nt
Organism: Rhinopithecus roxellana (golden snub-nosed monkey)
Lineage: Eukaryota; Metazoa; Chordata; Mammalia; Primates; Cercopithecidae
Gene: 7SK
Rfam family: 7SK RNA
About the family: 7SK was discovered as an abundant small nuclear RNA in the mid-70s but a possible function has only recently been suggested. Two independent studies have found that 7SK RNA binds the CDK9/cyclin T complex (known as elongation factor P-TEFb).
Source: Ensembl
GGACGUGAGGGCUAUCUAGCUGUAACAUCUGUCACCCUAUUGAUCGCCAAGGUGGAUCUGGCUGAUCUAGCUGGCUGGGCAGGUGUCCCCUUCCCCGCUCAUCACUCCAUGUGCAUCCCUCCCAAAGCCAAACACUUGAAGAGGAUGACCGUCUCUGAUAGAGGAGGACCAGUCUUCGGUCAAGGGUAUACCUCCAAACCUCCAAAUAAGUUCUCAAAACAGAGGAUUCAUGUCAAGUACUUAGCCCAGUACCCCACACAGUAUAUGAUAAACAAAUAUUAGAUCUUAUAAACAUCACUGCCAUCCACCAUCACGGGCAUUGCAUGGAUGUGGAA